AGCUUUGUACAGUGCCAGUAUCAGAGCCAAUGAGGUUUAUCUGAGGUGUGAUUAUUGCUAAUUGAAAACUUUUCCCAAUUAA
Molecule: small nuclear RNA, 82 nt
Organism: Gorilla gorilla gorilla (western lowland gorilla)
Lineage: Eukaryota; Metazoa; Chordata; Mammalia; Primates; Hominidae
Gene: U4
Rfam family: U4 spliceosomal RNA
About the family: U4 small nuclear RNA (U4 snRNA) is a component of the major U2-dependent spliceosome. The structure of U4 snRNA from yeast and human has been reported.
Source: Ensembl